CCUACGGGAGGCAGCAGUGGGGAAUAUUGCGCAAUGGGCGAAAGCCUGACGCAGCGACGCCGCGUGAGGGAUGAAGGUCUUCGGAUCGUAAACCUCUGUCAGCAGGGAAGAACGGUCACUGUGCUAAUCAGCAGUGAAUUGACGGUACCUGCAAAGGAAGCACCGGCUAACUCCGUGCCAGCAGCCGCGGUAAUACGGAGGGUGCGAGCGUUAAUCGGAAUUACUGGGCGUAAAGCUAUCGUAGGCGGUAUGUCAAGUCAACGGUGAAAUCCCCGCGCUCAACGUGGGAACUGCCUUUGAAACUGGCAGACUGGAGUGUGUGAGAGGAUAGUGGAAUUCCAGGUGUAGGAGUGAAAUCCGUAGAUAUCUGGAGGAACAGCAGUGGCGAAGGCGACUAUCUGGCACAUAACUGACGCUGAGGAGCGAAAGCGUGGGUAGCAAACAGGAUUAGAUACCCUGGUAGUC
This 465-nucleotide ribosomal RNA is filed under the name uncultured bacterium. RNAcentral describes it as "partial 16S ribosomal RNA". It matches the Rfam family "Bacterial small subunit ribosomal RNA", at positions 338 to 795 of the family's 1533-position model. The record is from RNAcentral.